This 253-nucleotide ribosomal RNA is filed under the name uncultured bacterium. RNAcentral's name for it is "partial 16S ribosomal RNA". It matches the Rfam family "Bacterial small subunit ribosomal RNA", at positions 524 to 776 of the family's 1533-position model. The record is from RNAcentral.
UACGGAGGGUGCAAGCGUUAUCCGGAUUUACUGGGUUUAAAGGGUGUGUAGGCGGGUCUUUAAGUCAGUGGUGAAAUCUCCGAGCUCAACUUGGAAACUGCCAUUGAUACUACUGAUCUUGAAUUUUGUUGAGGUAGGCGGAAUAAGUCAUGUAGCGGUGAAAUGCAUAGAUAUGACUUAGAACACCAAUUGCGAAGGCAGCUUGCUAAACAAAUAUUGACGCUGAGGCACGAAAGCGUGGGGAUCAAACAGG